RNAcentral lists this ribosomal RNA (253 nucleotides) under uncultured bacterium. RNAcentral describes it as "partial 16S ribosomal RNA". It matches the Rfam family "Bacterial small subunit ribosomal RNA", at positions 524 to 776 of the family's 1533-position model. The record is from RNAcentral.
UACAGUGGUCUCAAGCGUUGUUCGGAUUCAUUGGGCGUAAAGGGUGCGUAGGCGGCGCGGUAAGUCGGGUGUGAAAUCUCGGAGCUUAACUCCGAAACUGCAUUCGAUACUGCCGUGCUUGAGGACUGGAGAGGAGACUGGAAUUUACGGUGUAGCGGUGAAAUGCGUAGAUAUCGUAAGGAAGACCAGUGGCGAAGGCGGGUCUCUGGACAGUUCCUGACGCUGAGGCACGAAGGCCAGGGGAGCAAACGGG